UUGUCUUUGGAUCAAUUUGUUGUAGCAGCUCAACAAUCUCACAUUCCUCGACUACAGAAUGAAUGUGCAAAACAGCCUUAUAGCCAGCUGUAAAAAUUGCAUUGUCCAGCAAUUCAAGGAUUUGCAACUGAGCAACAAAUUCUGUAACUGCAGCUAUUGGCUUUGCAACACUUGACAAGACAAAACCUGCUAAUAUAUCCUCAUCAUCAAUCCCAGAUAAUCUAACACGAAGAUUUUCUCCAGGCCCUGC
Molecule: unclassified non-coding RNA, 250 nt
Filed under: Hevea brasiliensis (rubber tree)
Lineage: Eukaryota; Viridiplantae; Streptophyta; Magnoliopsida; Malpighiales; Euphorbiaceae
Source: RNAcentral